ACCCAGAUCUAAUCCUGAUUGAAAACUCUGUCACUCAAGUCUAGUCCAAAUAGAUCCGGUCGGGUUUACAGAUUCGACUCGAUCGACCUGAUAAAGUGCACAAGAAAUGUGGGAUAUCAUGUGGACCCCUAGAAUGCAAAUCUGACUCACCCAACUAGGCCGUCUGGAGUACGUAGGUGGGACACGGGUGAGACCCAACUGGAGUCAUUCAAUCGUUGUACAUGAAUCCUCCAUUCCCUUACGAGGAAAUGAAGGCCAGCGGCGAUAGCCAAAUGAAGAAGAAUGGGA
This 288-nucleotide long non-coding RNA is filed under the name Elaeis guineensis (African oil palm). Its description in RNAcentral is "long non-coding RNA (EGUI_LNC078325)". The record is from RNAcentral. Lineage: Eukaryota; Viridiplantae; Streptophyta; Magnoliopsida; Arecales; Arecaceae.